CGAACGCUGGCGGCGUGCUUAACACAUGCAAGUCGAACGGAAAGGCCCUGCUUUUGUGGGGUGCUCGAGUGGCGAACGGGUGAGUAACACGUGAGUAACCUGCCCUUGACUUUGGGAUAACUUCAGGAAACUGGGGCUAAUACCGGAUAGGAGCUCCUGCUGCAUGGUGGGGGUUGGAAAGUUUCGGCGGUUGGGGAUGGACUCGCGGCUUAUCAGCUUGUUGGUGGGGUAGUGGCUUACCAAGGCUUUGACGGGUAGCCGGCCUGAGAGGGUGACCGGCCACAUUGGGACUGAGAUACGGCCCAGACUCCUACGGGAGGCAGCAGUGGGGAAUAUUGCACAAUGGGCGGAAGCCUGAUGCAGCAACGCCGCGUGCGGGAUGACGGCCUUCGGGUUGUAAACCGCUUUCGCCUGUGGCGAAGCGUGAGUGACGGUAAUGGGUAAAGAAGCACCGGCUAACUACGUG
RNAcentral lists this ribosomal RNA (466 nucleotides) under uncultured bacterium. Its description in RNAcentral is "partial 16S ribosomal RNA". It matches the Rfam family "Bacterial small subunit ribosomal RNA", at positions 30 to 507 of the family's 1533-position model. The record is from RNAcentral.